CUCACCUCCUGAUUCCAGCGCUGCGCUGCUGCAGCCGAGCGGAGCCGUGGCGGGAUGGGGGCACACGUUGGUGGGCGCUGGGUGCCGCUGCUCCUGGGUGUGCGCCACGGCAUCUGCAAAGGGCCCCGUCGCCUGCUCCCAGCUGGCGGGCAGGGUGCAGGGCCCGGGGAGCACCCGCAGCUGCACUGGAGGUGCUCGGAGGAGCGUGGAGGGGCCGGGGCGGCCGGGGGCCUGCAGCGGGCAGCUGCCUGCGGGCUGCGGGGGCUUCCCACGGCACACGGCCCCGGGCCGCAGCCCCAUCGGCUGCUGGCGCUGCCGCUGCCGCUUCCCUGCCAGCCGGGGAUGUUGCCAGCAGUGGGCAGGGGCAUUGGGGGGAGGCAUACCCGGCUUCAUCCCGCCGGGUAGGAGCUGGAGGAGGGGUAACUGCCUCUCCCCGGGUGGCAGAUGACCCACAAUUGUGUACAGCCCCUCAGGUGUGAGCUGAACCACAAUUGGGGGCACCUCCUGAGGUGGGAGCUGACCCACCGUUGGGGGCACCUCCUGAGGUGGGAGAGGGCCCACAGUUGGGGGUACACCCUGAGGUGGGAGCUGACCCACAGUUUGGGGC
RNAcentral lists this long non-coding RNA (607 nucleotides) under Gallus gallus (chicken). The record is from RNAcentral. Lineage: Eukaryota; Metazoa; Chordata; Aves; Galliformes; Phasianidae.